AUUGAACGCUGGCGGCAUGCCUUACACAUGCCAGUCGAACGGCAGCACGGGUGCUUGCCCCUGGUGGCGAGUGGCGAACGGGUGAGUAAUACAUCGGAACAUGUCCUGUAGUGGGGGAUAGCCCGGCGAAAGCCGGAUUAAUACCGCAUACGAUCUACGGAUGAAAGCGGGGGACCUUCGGGCCUCGCGCUAUAGGGUUGGCCGAUGGCUGAUUAGCUAGUUGGUGGGGUAAAGGCCUACCAAGGCGACGAUCAGUAGCUGGUCUGAGAGGACGACCAGCCACACUGGGACUGAGACACGGCCCAGACUCCUACGGGAGGCAGCAGUGGGGAAUUUUGGACAAUGGGCGAAAGCCUGAUCCAGCAAUGCCGCGUGUGUGAAGAAGGCCUUCGGGUUGUAAAGCACUUUUGUCCGGAAAGAAAUCCUUGGCUCUAAUACAGCCGGGGGAUGACGGUACCGGAAGAAUAAGCACCGGCUAACUACGUG
RNAcentral lists this ribosomal RNA (486 nucleotides) under uncultured bacterium. RNAcentral's name for it is "partial 16S ribosomal RNA". It matches the Rfam family "Bacterial small subunit ribosomal RNA", at positions 30 to 507 of the family's 1533-position model. The record is from RNAcentral.